ACCAACCAAACAACAUAUGUUGUUGAAGAUCUUGAACCGAAUACUGGUUAUAAAUUUCGAGUAAUCGCUAUAAAAUUGAAUGAGUCGUCACCAUAUAGCAACUGGAGUAGUGUUAUUAAUACAACAAGUAAGUGCAAAACUGACAAUCUUUUAAAGCUAUGAUCAUCCAGGGAAAAAUUAAAAUUAUUAUGGUCCUCUGAGAUAAUUGAACAACAUGUAC
Paramuricea clavata is the source of this 220-nucleotide non-coding RNA. Lineage: Eukaryota; Metazoa; Cnidaria; Anthozoa; Malacalcyonacea; Plexauridae. The record is from the annotation of a GenBank genome assembly.